CGCCGGGCUAGCUCAAUCGGUAGAGCGUAAGACUCUUAAUCUUAAGGCUGCGGGUUCGACCCCC
This 64-nucleotide transfer RNA is filed under the name Penicillium salamii. RNAcentral's name for it is "tRNA-Pseudo". It matches the Rfam family "tRNA", at positions 1 to 61 of the family's 71-position model. Rfam says of the family: Transfer RNA (tRNA) molecules are approximately 80 nucleotides in length. The record is from RNAcentral. Lineage: Eukaryota; Fungi; Ascomycota; Eurotiomycetes; Eurotiales; Aspergillaceae.